Non-coding RNA from Phasianus colchicus (ring-necked pheasant), 3367 nucleotides. The record is from RefSeq and is a predicted model, not a curated record. Lineage: Eukaryota; Metazoa; Chordata; Aves; Galliformes; Phasianidae.
UUUUUUUUUUUUUUUGCUUCUAUUUAAACCCGGCUUGUUUGCUUUUGUUACCGUGUUCGGGUUCCCAGUCUGCUUAGCUUGGAUGUUUGUUGUGUGCUCAGUAACACUGAGUUUUGCUUCUCCAAACUCUGUUAACAGUCACCCUUGGGUUCUGCUGGAAUGCGUGCUUGUCUGUCUCACUGCUUUUGAUACCUGAAUUCCUCCAUGGAAGCUGAAGGGUUGUGAUUUUUUUUUUUUAACCAAGUUUUUGAUAGGGAAACAGUGCAGUGUGCUUAACCACCCCAAUGGCUGGUUACAUUUGCAGGUUGUUCUGCUCAGUCAGACGUGGACUUUUAUGUUCUGAGCCACGUUUCUCGUUGGGCAACCAAACCUGUUUGUUCUCUGGAUGCUGGAGUUGUCCUGCAGGCAGCCUCUGCCGUCGUGGGAUCUGAGCAUCCAUGGGAAGGUUUUAAGGUGUCUCCUGGCUAUAAAUUGAAGACAGCUGCCCUGAAAGGGAUAUGCUGCCCUUCUCUCAUCAGCACCAUGCAGCCCUUUGAGCCUACCACCCCUCCUAGCUGCCCUGAACCCUGCAGCUGUGACUGAGUGUAUUUUCACACUGUCUGCAUAUGCUGGUGGGCAGCUCAGCCUGUCUCUGCCCUCCUGGCACAGCUCUGCCCUGGGAGGAGCUCUGUGAUGCCCAGCUCUGCAGCAAGGUAAGUCCUGGAACCUUCACUUGUCAUUUCUUUGCUGGAAGUGCACUGUUUUCCCAUAGGGGAAGGUGUGACCUGCAGUCUGUGCUGUGUAGGUGAGUUGUUGGGAGUUCCCCUUUGAGCUGCUCCUUUCUUGUUAUGCUGGUGUCAACAUUUGCAAAGGACGAAACAUGGCUGAUGUGGGUUGAGCCAGCAGUGGGGAAAAGGAGCAUCCUACUGACCUGAGCUCUGCUCAGCACAGCUCCUGCAUGCUGUGUGUGAGUCCUGCUCCUUUGCCUCCCUUAAAGGGUUUGUGUUCUGAGCAGGCAUCCUGACUGAUGUAGCAUGCAGCCUUUGGGAUGCUAGGUUGGCUUCCUCCCAUGUAGGUGGCUUUAACCUCUCAUGCAGCAGGUGCCAGGGCUGUUUGCUUCAUAUUGAACCAUGAGCAUCAGUGUCCACUGGGCUGGGUUCUGCUCCUGUCCGUGGUGGGAUGAGCAGCAGAUUGGUGGUGUAAGGUGUGAGUGAUGUGAGUUGUUUACUUCUGGCAUUGAUUGCGUUGAAUAGACUCUUAACUCUUGUUGGAGUUGUCUGUAUUGCUUCUUUGAGAGCACCAGCUCUUUCCUUCCCACACAUGCUCAUAGAACUGGGUGGAUUCAGCCCCUCGACCCAAGGCAGCUCUCUGCUCUGCAUUCCUGCACUCCUUCCUCAUUUGGCCACUGGUCCUUCCCCCCAUAUUUGCUGGCUCUGUUGUUUAUUGGCUUUGCGUGUCACUUCCCCUAAUAUUUUCUCACAUCCUUGCUGCCAUGCACGUCUUUAGCUUACUAAUUGUCCCCCAGUUCUUUUUUCUCUGCACAUAGUUGAUCAUCUAGGCACUGUUAAUGUAAGCAAGAUAUUUUUUCCUGUUUGGAGAUGCCCACAUUUGCUGUUGGAGCAUUUCCAGCCAUUCCUUGGGCGAUGUACUGAGAACUUCUGCACAGAGGGUUUCACUGCACCACCAGGAGCUCCACGUCCCCUGCAGACCUGAGCAGCUCCUGUUCAGACUGUGUCUCUCCAAACCCAAUUUCAUGCCAUUGCUGGGCUCAGACUGAUCUUUUUCGGUGCUGUGAGUGCUUUUUUGCAGCAUCACAGGUUACAGAGGUUCCCCCAUGUGCAAAGUGCCAGCUGCUCCUGCAGCCCCGAGCAGCGUUUCCGCCUCUCCAUGGGCACCCAGGGAUGUGCUCUGUGUUGUGUUAUCUCUGACAGGAGCACAGCAAGCUGUGCUGUGUCUCCGUGUUACCAAGCAGGACCACACAACUAUUCAAUGAUUCUCCCUGGAUGGUUUUCACACUGCCUCAAGCUCCUCUCUCUUAGGGGUGGGAUUGAAAAAGACCAGAGGAGAAGCUCUGAUGUAAACCCUCUCUUUGAGGCACAUCUCUGCUGGCUGGGGAAGGCCUUGCUCUCCGCCUUCAAUGCAGAACGCCCCAAGCAUCUUCAUUUAAGAGGCAGCAUGAAAUUAGAAGCUUUUUUUUUUUUUUUCCUUUCUCCCUCCAUGAAACAGAUUUAUUUUUCCUUUGGCUUGCACUGUGCACCACGUGCAGAAAGAAUGCACCUAAUGAGUGGCUGGAGCUCAGCAGCAGAGGAGGGGGGUCUGGGAGGGAACCAGAGGUUCCUGCCUCCCCUUGCACAGCUGGAGGGACAGAUCUGCUCCUGUUGGAGCAACACACUGCAGCCUCAGGUGAUGAUGAGUGCCAAUGGGUGCCCAAGGAUGUGGCACUCUGCUCCUCCUUUGUAUAACUUGGCCACUCUUGGAGCUUUCUGCAACAUUCUUGGGGCUCCACAGUGAUCUGGGUGAUGGGAAAAGGACCGAUGGCACCUUCAAUUACAGAGCACAUUGGCUUUGGGUCAGAGCUCUGUUCUGUGUUAUCAGUUUUGGUGCGAGACGUGUUUUAUAUCCAGGCAGUUUCUCUUAUAAAAUGUGCAUGAGGAUUUUAUGUAAGCAGGGCAGGAACCAAGCUCUGUGUUUUAAUCUUGCGCAAUUAUCUCCACGCCAGAGCAGCCGAAGCUUUCCUCUUGCCCUGAAGCCAGUGCUUGUUCACAUCUAGUUACAGUCAGACGACAUGAAGCACCCGGAGUGAUGCGCCCUGCGUGAUGCUGCUGCAUCCAGAACACGUGGAAAAUCUUCAUGAAGUUGGAUGUGGAGCUUCUGGUGAUGGAGCUGUUUUCUUUGAGGACCCCCCAAGUUCAUGCUUAUUUCCAACACCCUGCUCAGCACAUCAGCUCUGCGCUGCUGCCCCUCCUCUGCUCAGCCUUCAGGUGACCACAAAACGUCUCCAUUCCCCAAACCAGCGUGGUGUAAUCGUCUCCAAAGGGAUUAGUGACGGUGCUUCUCGUGGCUGUCAUUGCCUUUAUGCAGGCUGUCACCAUCCUGGGACUCUCAGAGCAGUGCUUUGGCUCUCAUACCUGGCUGAGCUGUGGCUGCCAGCUCUGUUCAUCUGAGCUGUGUGAAGUGGCAGACAGAUUGCAUUACUCUCUGAGCAUGUUCAGCUCUUCCCAAAUCCAUCUCUCUGCUCGGUGUGCAAGCUGGCAGUGCUGAUGUCCCACAGCAGCCCAGGGACCUUCACCAGGCACUGCCAUGCAGCUCCUGUGUUGCUUUUCUGGAUGAGUACAGCUCAAGUUGAGGCUUGAUAGGAAGGGAAAGCACUGAUGGCAGCUUCUGGUUU